Long non-coding RNA from Nicotiana tabacum (common tobacco), 1033 nucleotides. RefSeq lists it as uncharacterized. NCBI's taxonomy places the organism in Eukaryota, Viridiplantae, Streptophyta, Magnoliopsida, Solanales, Solanaceae. The record is from RefSeq and is a predicted model, not a curated record.
UUCUCUCAAGUCUUUUAGUGUUUUCCCCCUCUGUCUCUCUCACUGCACGCAGAGACGAGUUCCCAUUCCCAGGUAAGUCUCUCUCUCUCACACACACAUACUCACCCGAUCUCCUUUUUUCGUUUUGAUUUCCCCCAAAAGACUUCGAAUUUUAGGGAUUUUAUAUUGUUUCAAACCCUAGGAUUAAAAAGUUAAUGUUGUCCUCUUAAUUUUAUACUGCUACAAACCUCGAUAUAUACUUUACUGAACUUUAAUCGUUAUAACAUAAGACAUCAACCCACCUAGAAAGGGGCUUACAGUCUUCAGGAUCCAGCACUGCUGUGUUACGCCAGUCAGGGCAAGGUUUUCGACCAUCAUUCAGAGUGAUAUACUUCAUAUCUCCUAUCUACAAAUAGGAUAAUUUCAAACGAAUCUUGGAGGAGUUCAUUCAAAGCCAGUCGAUUGAUGAUCAAGGUAGGCCAAUCCAACCAACCCAAGAGGAGAUCAUGGACAUGUGGAUUAAGGUAACUGGUGGCGUGCAUAAGGGGGAGAGUUUACGACCUUGGAUCAAGAGUUUAGUCUCGGCCGUCGUACUUCUGGAUUGUCUGGUUCUUAUUCUUCAUCAUAUUUCUCGGUUGAUCUAGAUGAGUUUGAGUAAUUGAAUAGGAAGGUAGCGAAGAUUACGGAGUUGUAUCUUUAAGAAAGGGCUGCAAGGGAAGAAGAGGCAAAGCGAGGGGAGGAAGAAGAUAGGCUAAGAGAGGAAUAAAUGAGGUGAAAGGACGAUGCAUUAAGACUUGUCACUAGUGAUGUUAAAAGUCUCAAGUCUUAGAUAAACUCCCUCUUAGCAUCUGGUGCAUUUCUUGUGCCCCGUUCUCCAGCAUCUAACGAUAACUAAGAAGUAGUUUCUUUAAUUAGCUUGUCUUGGAUGGUACUUGGAUGUUGAAUAUUGAAUGUUGGAUUUUUGAGUUUUUGUUCUACUUUUGGAUUAGUUGGAUUAAUUAUGAAAUGGAUUGAUUAGUUGUUGUUAAUGAAAUGAAUUGGAUUGCAUGUUGAA